RNAcentral lists this transfer RNA (76 nucleotides) under Halalkalibacter nanhaiisediminis. RNAcentral's name for it is "Bacillus nanhaiisediminis tRNA-Thr". It matches the Rfam family "tRNA". From Rfam's summary of the family: Transfer RNA (tRNA) molecules are approximately 80 nucleotides in length. Their secondary structure includes four short double-helical elements and three loops (D, anti-codon, and T loops). Lineage: Bacteria; Bacillati; Bacillota; Bacilli; Caryophanales; Bacillaceae. The record is from RNAcentral.
GCUUCCAUAGCUCAGCCGGUAGAGCACCACCAUGGUAAGGUGGGGGUCAGCGGUUCGAAUCCGCUUGGAAGCUCCA